UGGUGGAGUGAUUUGUCUGGUUAAUUCCGUUAACGAACGAGACCUUAACCUACUAACUAGCUACACGGAUUCAUUGCGAAUACGUUGUGGGCUUCUUAGGGGGACUGCCCUGGUUGCACAGGGAGGAAGUGUGAGGCAAUAACA
Molecule: ribosomal RNA, 144 nt
Filed under: uncultured eukaryote
Lineage: Eukaryota
Description: partial 18S ribosomal RNA
Rfam family: Eukaryotic small subunit ribosomal RNA
Source: RNAcentral